CCUACGGGAGGCAGCAGUGAGGAAUAUUGGUCAAUGGGCGCGAGCCUGAACCAGCCAAGUCGCGUGAGGGAUGAAGGUUCUAUGGAUCGUAAACCUCUUUUAUAAGGGAAUAAAGUGUGGGACGUGUCCUAUUUUGUAUGUACCUUAUGAAUAAGGAUCGGCUAACUCCGUGCCAGCAGCCGCGGUAAUACGGAGGAUCCGAGCGUUAUCCGGAUUUAUUGGGGUUAAAGGGUGCGUAGGCGGCAUUUUAAGUCAGCGGUGAAAGUCUGUGGCUCAACCAUAGAAUUGCGGUUGAAACGGGGGGGCUGGAGUAUGUGUGAGGCAGGCGGAAUGCGUGGGGUAGCGGUGAAAUGCUUAGAUAUCACGCAGAACCCCGAUUGCGAAGGCAGCCUGCCAAGCCAUGACUGACGCUGAUGCACGAAAGCGUGGGGAUCAAACAGGAUUAGAUACCCUGGUAGUC
RNAcentral lists this ribosomal RNA (460 nucleotides) under uncultured bacterium. RNAcentral describes it as "partial 16S ribosomal RNA". It matches the Rfam family "Bacterial small subunit ribosomal RNA", at positions 338 to 795 of the family's 1533-position model. The record is from RNAcentral.